This 2610-nucleotide long non-coding RNA is filed under the name Nicotiana tabacum (common tobacco). RNAcentral describes it as "long non-coding RNA (NTAB_LNC010262)". The record is from RNAcentral. Lineage: Eukaryota; Viridiplantae; Streptophyta; Magnoliopsida; Solanales; Solanaceae.
UGGUUUUAACGUAUUUUAAGUGUGCACUUUUUAGCAAUGAGGAGUAGUACCUUUUAAUAGAUGAAGUAAGUUGCGAGCAGCUAGGAAUGCAGGGAUAUGGAUUGAACACCAUAUAUCCAACUGGAUGCAUUAAGGAUUCCAUACUUCCAGAAAAGUUGGCUUCGGACCUGAAAUACAUAUAGCCUUCAGUUUUCUUGAAGAAAUAGGUUUCAUUUGCUACGCUAGGAGCAUUAAUCUGUACCCUUUUCAACUGAUCUGUACCUUGAUGAGUACAAUUUAUAAAUUGUGUUGCUUAUUAGAUGAAUAUUAUGAGCUUGUAUUUUAUAGUUUUCAAUAAUAAGGUAUAAUAAGGUAAGCUGCAUUACUUACUGUUGGAUGCCACUGCUUCAUUAGUUGGUAAGAUUGCAACGCCUACUAGAUUGCUUGCGUUUUCAGUGCUCUUGAAGUGGUAUCAUAGUUUGCUUUGUCAUGUUGGGAGUGCAUUUGCCAAAUAUUUUUCUCUGCUUCCUAAACUAUUCGUUUCUGUUGGAGAAGAAUCUAAAAUGUCUUUGGAAUAUAUGAGACAACAUAUAUUUUUUGGGUAUGAAUGUAAUGCAUCUACAUGCAUUUUGUUUAAAUGUUACUAGUAUUUAUUGAAAGAGCACCUAUAUAUACUACUUGUAUUCAUGACGGUGAUUCAGAUAAUCAGGACCAUAAGAAAGGUGGAAAAAAUACAAUACAAUAGAAAAGAACUAGAAUAUCAGAAGCGGAAGAGAAAGAACUAACGCACAGAAAGCAAAGAAGAAUAAGAACAGGGUGAGGAGACAAGUUACUAAAACUACAGUUUAUAUACACCAAGAUGUGAAUAAGUAAAUUUUCAUCAUUUUACUCAUAGACCUUUGGCCAAAGAAAAUGUCUGCAUUUGUUCGAAGUCACCGCGAGUAAAGUGACGAACUCAAGAAAACAAAUAACAAAAUAAAAGCAACAACUACUGUUUAGCUACAUUAUUAUUACUGAUAUAAGGCAACUUUAGGAUAAUUUGAGAAUCUAAAAUAUUACAAAAGGCGUGGCUUGACUGCUUGAGUCACUCGACAUUCAAAAAGAAGGAAAACAUGAAAGUAAAAAGAAUCAGGUCCAAGAAAAACAACUCUGUUACUCCUCGAAUCUUUCUUAAUUAGAUAAAAUUUUAGUAAGCUUCAUUAGUAGUUAUAAUUAACUAAAAAUAAUAUUGAAGUAUAAGCUUUAACUUAAUCACGGUUAAGAAUUAACCCAAAUGUAUGUUAUUCAUAAGUUUUUUUUAAAAAAAAUCCAUUAUAAGCAUGUUAAUUUAUAAAUUUAAAUACUUACUUUUACGACCGCGCGAAGCGCAGACAAAUUAACUAGUAAAUGAAUUAAGUUGAAUUCAAGGAUAACUUUAGUGGCCAUUAUAUUUGUUGCGGAAAGGGGUUCUUUUUACCAGUUAUUAAAUUGACUUUUAGCAGCAAUAAUAAAAGCUGCAAAAGGUAGGGCCUAAGGAAUUUUUAGUGAGUUUUAGUGUCCAUUAUAAUUGCCAGUAAUAUUUGUUGCUAAAACUAAAGAACUUUUACCGGCCAUAACAACUUCCUUUACCAGCAUUCAGAUAAAUGGCCACUAAAGGCUUUGCCGACGCCGGCUACAACGACUAAUAACUAAUUGCCGGUAAAUAUUUUGGCAGCCAUUUUUAUUUCCGCUAUAAUACAUUUUAAUUGCCACUAAAAGCUUUUUUUGUUGUAGUGAGUGUCAGCCUAUCUCCUCAGCAAACAAUAGCCCUUACGAGCGCGGGGUAUCUAACCUUGGCCUUGUGGCACUCACACAAGGGGAGGUCGGCUAGCUCUCCCUUUAAUGUGAUCACAUUAGUGCAUAAAUAAAUACCGGAACUGAAUACAGCACUAAAUGUAAAUAUCACCAACAAAGGCACAUAAAUACGCAUAAACAUGUAACUCUAUCACAUAUAAAGUCGUAGUGAAUAAGAAUGACGCAAACUGAAUACUGGAUCACAAGGAGACAUGGCUUAGAUUUAUCAAACACAUGGAGCACGUGGGCUCUAAUAAAAUUCCCUACUAAGAGAAUACGCCUUGACUCAACUCAAGACGACAAGCUUAACUUCCACUUCACACCUCUUUCAAGCAAUCCCGGACCCCAAUUUCACAAUCUACAUGAUAAACCAGUUCAACUUACACAAAUACAUGCCUAAAGCUUGCAACUUUAUUCCCAUUAAUUUAGGGACAUUGGUCAAAUCCUCUAAUUUCUGUGUUUUUCCUCAAUUACGUAGGAACAAAACUUAUCCACUUCAUUCUUUUACAAUACAAUGGGUACAAUCCUCCUAAACAACAUUAUCAACAAUACAGUAUAAUACCCAGUCAAAGGUUUCAUCUUUUUAAUAAUUUAAAUCUUCAUUAUCAAUUUCUCCCUGUACUACUCAACCCUAACUCCUGUUUGCAAUUACAAUAACCCAUCUAAAUAAUAGAGUAGACAAUUAAAUAAGAAAGAAGUGAAGAAAACCAGAAGGAAGAAGGAAUUUUUUUUUACCGUGCGUUUGUCAGUGGAAAGAACACAAGUAACCAAAAGGAAAAACUUUGCUGCCUUUAAGCUUCGGCCAAACGAGAACUUUAA